Molecule: ribosomal RNA, 268 nt
Filed under: uncultured bacterium
Lineage: Bacteria
Description: partial 16S ribosomal RNA
Rfam family: Bacterial small subunit ribosomal RNA
Source: RNAcentral
UUUAUCUUAGUGGCGGACGGGUGAGUAACGCGUGGGUAACCUGCCCUGUACAGGGGGAUAACACUUAGAAAUAGGUGCUAAAACCGCAUAAGCGCGCAGUACCGCAUGGUACAGUGUGAAAAACUCCGGUGGUACAGGAUGGACCCGCGUCUGAUUAGCUGGUUGGAGGGGUAACGGCCCACCAAGGCGACGAUCAGUAGCCGGCCUGAGAGGGUGAACGGCCACAUUGGGACUGAGACACGGCCCAAACUCCUACGGGAGGCAGCAG